CCUACGGGAGGCACCAGUAGGGAAUCUUCGGCAAUGGACGAAAGUCUGACCGAGCAACGCCGCGUGAGUGAAGAAGGUUUUCGGAUCGUAAAACUCUGUUGUUAGAGAAGAACAAGGACGUUAGUAACUGAACGUCCCCUGACGGUAUCUAACCAGAAAGCCACGGCUAACUACGUGCCAGCAGCCGCGGUAAUACGUAGGUGGCGAGCGUUGUCCGGAUUUAUUGGGCGUAAAGCGAGCGCAGGCGGUUUCUUAAGUCUGAUGUGAAAGCCCCCGGCUCAACCGGGGAGGGUCAUUGGAAACUGGGAGACUUGAGUGCAGAAGAGGAGAGUGGAAUUCCAUGUGUAGCGGUGAAAUGCGUAGAUAUAUGGAGGAACACCAGUGGCGAAGGCGGCUCUCUGGUCUGUAACUGACGCUGAGGCUCGAAAGCGUGGGGAGCAAACAGGAUUAGAUACCCGCGUAG
RNAcentral lists this ribosomal RNA (463 nucleotides) under uncultured bacterium. RNAcentral describes it as "bacterial SSU rRNA". It matches the Rfam family "Bacterial small subunit ribosomal RNA", at positions 338 to 793 of the family's 1533-position model. The record is from RNAcentral.